RNAcentral lists this ribosomal RNA (453 nucleotides) under Triticum aestivum (bread wheat). RNAcentral describes it as "partial small subunit ribosomal RNA". The record is from RNAcentral. Lineage: Eukaryota; Viridiplantae; Streptophyta; Magnoliopsida; Poales; Poaceae.
AUGGGCGAAGCAGAACAGGUAAGCGAGACAGCAAGAGCAACCCAAAUUAAGACGGGGAGAUGCACUUACAGGAAGGUAUCAUCAGCGCCAGCGCGCCAAACAUCCAGCAAAGAAAGAACUAAUGAACUGCAUGAACCGACAAAACAAAACAAGAUUAAGGCGAACAAUAAACAAGGGAGAGUAAAGAAGAACAGAACUGAGAGGGAACGGAGCCACACCAGCCGGACUCUGCAGCAUGUGCUUGAAGGUGAGAUGCACCGGCACAUGACGACCUCGCCGGAGCUCUUCUCAUGCCGCCGCUUGACAUGGAUAGUCUGGCCAUCGAAGUACGAAUCCACCAUCCUGGCCGUGAACCUGAAACUGACUAAACCAAUAUAUCAAAAAUCAGAUUUAAUUCAAUGCAUAGCAGCGAAAUCAACUUGUAAAUUGAGAAUCAAAUCGUGUUGCUAUUGA